RNAcentral lists this ribosomal RNA (515 nucleotides) under Nocardiopsis dassonvillei subsp. dassonvillei. RNAcentral's name for it is "bacterial SSU rRNA". It matches the Rfam family "Bacterial small subunit ribosomal RNA", at positions 108 to 624 of the family's 1533-position model. The record is from RNAcentral. Lineage: Bacteria; Bacillati; Actinomycetota; Actinomycetes; Streptosporangiales; Nocardiopsidaceae.
GAGUAACACGUGAGCAACCUGCCCCUGACUCUGGGAUAAGCGGUGGAAACGCCGUCUAAUACCGGAUACGACCCGCCACCUCAUGGUGGAGGGUGGAAAGUUUUUCGGUCAGGGAUGGGCUCGCGGCCUAUCAGCUUGUUGGUGGGGUAACGGCCUACCAAGGCGAUUACGGGUAGCCGGCCUGAGAGGGCGACCGGCCACACUGGGACUGAGACACGGCCCAGACUCCUGCGGGAGGCAGCAGUGGGGAAUAUUGCGCAAUGGGCGAAAGCCUGACGCAGCGACGCCGCGUGGGGGAUGACGGCCUUCGGGUUGUAAACCUCUUUUACCACCAACGCAGGCUUCCAGUUCUCUGGAGGUUGACGGUAGGUGGGGAAUAAGGACCGGCUAACUACGUGCCAGCAGCCGCGGUAAUACGUAGGGUCCGAGCGUUGUCCGGAAUUAUUGGGCGUAAAGAGCUCGUAGGCGGCGUGUCGCGUCUGCUGUGAAAGACCGGGGCUUAACUCCGGUUCUGC